GGUUUUCACACAUCACUCGUUGACAUAAAAAUCGUAUUUGAAAAAACCCAUGAAAUAGCCUCUGUAUAUUGACAAAAACAUUAAAAAGGACAUUUCGUAAGUGAUCAACGCCAAGUGGCAAAUGAAAUUAAGACUCAAACCUUGAUUGACAAAUCAAUAAAUGUUGAAAUGUUCUGGUAAAGACAAUUUUUCUAAAUUUUUUCAUAUAGACUUACAAAGUUCAAGUGAUAUUCCAUAAUGCUACAGUCACAUAUCCACCGAGCCCCGUACAAUUUUUCUACAUGUGGCGGAUUUCUACAAUUUCAGGAAAUCGGGGGCAUCACAGGGGUCUGCGGCAUCCAUGUGUAGCAGUCUCAUAUUCAGCGGGGCCCGCGUGGUGCCCUUUGAAGUUUUCUUCACUCCAAUCGCGAGGCGCCCGUGGAUAGACAAUUGAAGCCAACAACCAUACCAAGACAGAUAACUACGUUGAGAAAGAAAGCACAAUGUAAGCGAGCAACAUCACCACAUCAACGGCAGAAGUGGACACAAACACACCCAAGACAAACAGUAACUGGUUUGCCCGACAGGACCAGGAUGAAGUAGCUGAGCAAUAUGACAAGGGGGAUUGGACAACUUGAAUCCUGCCACAUCACACAGCUGAUCAACUUAGUCAACAUUCUAGAGGAUAUGACCCACUCAGUGGCCAUUAAUUGUGUCCGCCAUGGACAGGUAAACACAGAGAGGGAAGAAAGCUCACUGAAGUGGAAAACCACACAAGGAAGGAAUCGGUGGUGGCGUCCUUUUGGACCACAUUGGUGGUGAGGAAAUCACUACCAAAACCAAAACCAAUGCAGAAUCGGACAACAAUGCUACCAAGGUGAACAACUGAUUUGCCCAACAAAGAUCCUGAAUGAAUAAAGACCAGGAUGAAGAAUCUGAAAGGGAGAUUGGACGACUCAACACCGAGGCUUGUCACGUCAGGCAGCUGAUCAACCUAGUUAACAUUCUAGAGGAUAUGACCCAAUCAGUGACAUUUGCGUCCGCCUUGCACAGACUAAUGCUGUGUACAGAAUGAUGGGAAUUAUGAUGAAUUGGCGAGUGAGAUGUUAUUUGUGGUUAUCUAGGAAGAUCAGUGGAUGUUUCUGAACCACCAUCCCAAGAUCGACGAAUCGCUGCAGCAGCAACACGGGAAAGUGUCGGAAGUGGAUCGAGCGUUUGUACAUCUCAAUUGUGAAGUGUUGUCACACCAGAAGAUAAACACAAAGGUUUAUGAUUUCGAGUUGUCUCCCUUUGUUUUAUAUUGCCUGUCAAAAUUAUAAAAUCUUUUGGAUUUUUUAAAACUUGGUGGCCGGGGAAAUGCGGAGGGGUGCACCCUGGGUAUUAUGGUAUACUCAGAUAUAUUUUUUAGAUAUUUGAAGAUUAUUUACUUUUAUUUAAUAGAAGGGUUGUAAUGACAAACAAACUUGAGAAAUAUGGCUAUUAGAUUAUAAUAGUAUUCAUAUGAUGAUGAUGUCAACUACAAAUUAAAUUAAACUUGUAUGUAUUAUGUUCUUGUGAGAUGUAUUUUUAAAAUUCUGGCCGAAUCUCAAGGUCUUUGUUCUUGUACGGUGUUUAAUUUACAAAAACUAUUAUAUAUAUUUUAUUGUUAAUUUUGUUUAUGUAUUUAUUGAGGUCAAACUUUAUUAACUUUAAUUAUUUGUAUUAAAAAAAAAAAGAAAGAA
This is a long non-coding RNA of Gigantopelta aegis, 1700 nucleotides long. RefSeq lists it as uncharacterized. Lineage: Eukaryota; Metazoa; Mollusca; Gastropoda; Neomphalida; Peltospiridae. The record is from RefSeq and is a predicted model, not a curated record. The transcript is spliced from 5 exons.